Molecule: unclassified non-coding RNA, 205 nt
Filed under: Hevea brasiliensis (rubber tree)
Lineage: Eukaryota; Viridiplantae; Streptophyta; Magnoliopsida; Malpighiales; Euphorbiaceae
Source: RNAcentral
CUCAUCUUUUCCCCAUUCAGAGGGCUGUUCUAAUUCCGGCACUAGAAGGUAGAGAUCUCAUAGCUCGGGCAAAGACCGGGACUGGAAAGACUUUAGCCUUUGGUAUCCCAAUAAUUAAACGCCUUACUGAAGAUACUACACAAACAAGUCCACAGAGACGAACUGGUCGGCUUCCCAGAGUUUUGGUCCUAGCACCAACUCGGGA